CAGCCGCCACGGGAAUACGUAGGUGGCAAGCGUUGUCCGGAAUUAUUGGGCGUAAAGGGCUCGCAGGCGGUUUCUUAAGUCUGAUGUGAAAGCCCCCGGCUCAACCGGGGAGGGUCAUUGGAAACUGGGAAACUUGAGUGCAGAAGAGGAGAGUGGAAUUCCACGUGUAGCGGUGAAAUGCGUAGAGAUGUGGAGGAACACCAGUGGCGAAGGCGACUCUCUGGUCUGUAACUGACGCUGAGGAGUGAAAGCGUGGGGAGCGAACAGGAUUAGAUACCCGCGUAGUCCCUGUCUCUUAUAC
Molecule: ribosomal RNA, 301 nt
Filed under: uncultured bacterium
Lineage: Bacteria
Description: partial 16S ribosomal RNA
Rfam family: Bacterial small subunit ribosomal RNA
Source: RNAcentral